RNAcentral lists this long non-coding RNA (230 nucleotides) under Trifolium pratense (red clover). RNAcentral's name for it is "long non-coding RNA (TPRA_LNC012395)". The record is from RNAcentral. Lineage: Eukaryota; Viridiplantae; Streptophyta; Magnoliopsida; Fabales; Fabaceae.
GCAUACAACAGAAAAAUGCCUACAAGUAAUAUGAUAAAAUUAAAGUCACCGGAAUGUCCAUGCUCCGGAUCUGCAACGUUGACGUCCAAAUCAUUGAUUGAAUGUGCAAUUGAUUGAAGUUGAUCUUUCAAUAUGACUUAAACAAACACCGUAACACGACGGAUAAUCCAAAACGCCGCACCAAUCGGACGACGAUCAACACACUGCCGCACUUAGACGACUAAAAUAAC